This 31-nucleotide non-coding RNA is filed under the name Homo sapiens (human). The record is from RNAcentral. Lineage: Eukaryota; Metazoa; Chordata; Mammalia; Primates; Hominidae.
UAAGCACAUGCACUCCUAGGAUGAGGCCUUU